AAAUUUGCACCUGAUUUUGGUGAUUAUAGAAGUCCACUAAAACUUUUAUAAUAAAAGGGAAUUAAGUGAAAAUCUUAAACAGACCCGCUGCUGUAAUCUUCAACAGUCUUUAACCAAUCGAAUAUCCACUGUCUUUUAUAAAGAUGGGAAGGAUGCGUUAAAGAUGAAGUAAGUCAGAAAACCUGCCAAGUCAUUUUUUGUAUU
Molecule: non-coding RNA, 204 nt
Filed under: Bacteroides coprosuis
Lineage: Bacteria; Pseudomonadati; Bacteroidota; Bacteroidia; Bacteroidales; Bacteroidaceae
Also listed under: 1 other name
Source: RNAcentral